CCUGAAAGAUCCGCCUGGUGACGGAAUACCAGGUUAAAGGGAGUAGUUAUAUUUUUUACAGGCAAAUCCGUAAGAAAUGACGAACCUGAUAGUACAGCAAAGCUUCGGCAGAGCUGAUAGUGAUCCUAAUCAAACCUCCGAGAAAAACUUCUAAGUUAUGUUUAAAGCAGCCCGUACCGCAAACCGACACAGGUGGGUGGGAUGAAUAUUCUAAGGCGCUCGGGUGAGCCGUGGAGAAGGAACUAGGCAAAUUGACGCUGUAACUUCGGGAUAAAGCGUACCCUCUACGUAAGUAGAAGGUCUCAGUAAAAUGGUGCAACCAACUGUUUAGCAAAAACACAGGGCCCUGCAAAAUCGAAAGAUGACGUAUAGAGCCUGAUACCUGCCCGGUGCUGGAAGGUUAAGGAAGGGUGUUCGUCGCAAGACAAAGCUCCUGACUGAAGCCCCAGUAAACGGCGGCCGUAACAAUAACGGUCCUAAGGUAGCGAAAUUCCUUGUCGGGUAAGUUCCGACCUGCACGAAUGGUCUAAUGAGUUGCACACUGUCUCCUCCACGAGCCCGGUGAAAUUGUAGUAUCGGUGAAGAUGCCGGUUACCCGUCACGGGACGGAAAGACCCCAUGAACCUUCACUACAACUUUGCAUUGAUUUUGAAUUUUUGAUGUGUAGGAUAGUUGGGAGACUUUGAAGCGGUGUCGCUAGGCAUCGUGGAGUCAACGUUGAAAUACCAACCUUUAAACAUUUAGAAUCUAACCCGCCAAUGGUGGGCACAGUGCAUGGUGGGUAGUUUGACUGGGGUGGUCGCCUCCUAAAAUGUAACGGAGGCUUGCAAAGGUUCCCUCAGUACGGUUGGUAAUCGUACAUAGAGCGUAUUAGUAUAAGGGAGCUUGACUGUGAGACUUACAAGUCGAGCAGGGACGAAAGUCGGCUAAAGUGAUCCGGUGGUUCUGUAUGGAAGGGCCAUCGCUCAAAGGAUAAAAGGUACUCUGGGGAUAACAGGCUGAUCUCCCCCAAGAGCUCAUAUCGACGGGGAGGUUUGGCACCUCGAUGUCGGUUCGUCACAUCCUGGGGCUGGAGAAGGCCCCAAGGGUUCGGCUGUUCGCCGAUUAAAGUGGCACGUGAACUGGGUUCAGAACGUCGCAAGACAGUUCGGUCCCUAUCUGUGAUGGGCGUUAGUAAAUUGAGAGGACAUGACCUUAGUACGAGAGGACCGGGUCGUAUGUACCGCUGGUGUAUCUGUUGUGCCGCCAGGUGCAAUGCAGAGUAGCUAUGUACAGGCAGGAUAAACGCUGAAAGCAUCUAAGCGUGAAACCUUCCUCAAGAUGAGUUUACUUUUAAGGGUCGUCGAAGACUACGACGUUGAUAGGCUAUAGGUAUAAAGGUGGUAACAUCAAAGCCGAGUAGUACUAAUUACCCGUUAGCUUUAUUA
This 1427-nucleotide ribosomal RNA is filed under the name metagenome. RNAcentral describes it as "bacterial LSU rRNA". It matches the Rfam family "Bacterial large subunit ribosomal RNA", at positions 1478 to 2925 of the family's 2925-position model. The record is from RNAcentral.